Molecule: long non-coding RNA, 1375 nt
Organism: Acinonyx jubatus (cheetah)
Lineage: Eukaryota; Metazoa; Chordata; Mammalia; Carnivora; Felidae
Exons: 3
Source: RefSeq, a predicted model, not a curated record
AACACAAGAAAGAAAGAAAAUCAAGAUUCCGAAAGAGGCUGGUGAAGAGGAAACACCUGUGUUGAGGGCUGGGAAACAGCACCAGGCAGAUCCAGGCUCCACCCUCACGGAGCCCUGUGGUCAAGUGGAGGACGGAGGUCAGUCAUCAGACUGUGGCAAGGAUAAGGACAAAAGCCGGGCCUGGUGGGGUCACCAGAGAAGGCUUCCAGGGGGAAGUGACCUGCAAGCAGGUGGUGGCAUGAUGAGAUGGACAUUUUAGAAAGAGCUUCCUGGCUGCUGUGUGGAGCGUGGCUGGACACAGGUAAGCCUGGAUGGAGUCAGGGUAGGGGGAGACAAAGGAGUUGAGGCAGGAGAGGGAGGUGGCCAGGGUGAGGGAAACAGUGGGGGUGGGGAGAGAGGCCCGACUCCAGAGAUACUGGGAUGCAGAGGGGCCCGGACUUGGAUUGGCCAUGUGUGCUGGGCAGGGGAGGGUAGGCAGGGCAGAGGGAGAGGGAGGCCCCCGGGUCUCUGGGCAGCAUGGUUUAGGGUGGUGAUUUGCACCAAGAUCAAACACAGAGGCAGCUUUAGAAGAAAGGGUCGCGCGCAGUUCAUCAGGGCUACAGGAAAAUUACGUCAGCCACUUGUCCUUACCAUGGAUUACACGACCACACUGAAAACGGCCAGCAACAAACUGCGGAGCACUUUACAAAGCGUUUCCUACCAGGAACUCCUGUGGCCACCUGAUCAUCCACUAAGACUUUACCUGAAAAUGAGCACUUCCUUCAGUCACGAAUGCCAACAACAACCGACAGUGACGUUAGUGGUGCCAAGCAUUCGUCAACAACAAGAUACUGUAGAUGCAUUCAUAACACCACUGUGGCAGCAUCUGGAAACAUCACUUCUGCUCAUCACAAACCCAGAGUUACAGUUACAGCUGUUAGACCAGCCAGUUGGACGCUACUAUCUAAAGUGUUAACAAAGGAGCACAUAUAUUUCAACAUCAUAAAUUUUUAAAGUAUCUCAUAACUGAAUCUGAAAAGAACUGGUUUCCUUUGUAACCCUACAUAUUUUGUUUUAUAUAAGGAAAAGCAUUAUUCUGAGAAGGGGUCCCUAGGCUUCACCCGACGGCCAAAGUGCUCACAAGGAGUUCGAUUUCUACUCCAGGAGGGACAGAGUACUGCUGACGUGCUUUCCACAGGUUUCAUGGGCUGCAGCCUCCAGGCUGCAAAGUCACCCUGGCUGUGGGAGAAGACUGUGCUCGUGCAAGGUGGUGCCAAAGGCAAGUGAGGGCAUGGCCUACUCCGACCUCUGUCCUGGGCAAUGUGGAGGGGGCAGCGCCCCUGGGGCCUCGAGGGCUCUUCCCAAGCCUCUCCCACCCACCCACCACACCACCUCA